Molecule: ribosomal RNA, 490 nt
Filed under: uncultured bacterium
Lineage: Bacteria
Description: partial 16S ribosomal RNA
Rfam family: Bacterial small subunit ribosomal RNA
Source: RNAcentral
GAUGAACGCUAGCUACAGGCUUAACACAUGCAAGUCGCGGGGCAGCAUGGGGGUUGCUUGCAAUCCCCGAUGGCGACCGGCGCACGGGUGAGUAACGCGUAUCCAACCUGCCCUUCACCACGGGAUAACCCGGCGAAAGUCGGACUAAUACCGUAUGUUGUCCAUUGACGGCAUCCGAUUUGGACGAAAGGUUUGGCGGUGAAGGAUGGGGCUGCGUCCGCUUAGCUGGACGGCGGGGUGACGGCCCACCGUGGCGACGAUCGGUAGGGGUUCUGAGAGGAAGGUCCCCCACACUGGAACUGAGACACGGUCCAGACUCCUACGGGAGGCAGCAGUGAGGAAUAUUGGUCAAUGGGCGUAAGCCUGAACCAGCCAAGUAGCGUGCAGGAUGACGGCCCUAUGGGUUGUAAACUGCUUUUAUGCGGGGAUAAAGUGGCCCACGUGUGGGUUUUUGCAGGUACCGCAUAAAUAAGGACCGGCUAAUUCCGUG